AUAUUGGACAAUGGGGGCAACCCUGAUCCAGCUAUGCCGCGUGUGUGAAGAAGGUCUUCGGAUUGUAAAGCACGUUAAGUUGAGAGGAAGGGCCUGAGGUUAAUACCCUGAAGUUUUGACGUUACCAACAGAAUAAGCACCGGCUAACUCUGUUCCAGCAGCCGCGGUAAUACUGAGGGUGCAAGCGUUAAUGGGAAUUACUGGGCGUAAAGCGCGCGUAGGUGGUUCAGUAAGAUGGGUGUGAAAUCCCCGGGCUUAACCUGGGAACUGCUUUCAUAACUGCUGAGCUAGAGUACGGUAGAGGGUAGUGGAAUUUCCCGUGUAGCGGUGAAAUGCGUAGAUAUAGGAAGGAACACCAGUGGCGAAGGCGACUACCUGGACUGAUACUGACACUGAGGUGCGAAAGCGUGGGGAGCAAACA
RNAcentral lists this ribosomal RNA (421 nucleotides) under uncultured bacterium. RNAcentral's name for it is "partial 16S ribosomal RNA". It matches the Rfam family "Bacterial small subunit ribosomal RNA", at positions 361 to 774 of the family's 1533-position model. The record is from RNAcentral.